GGACUUGGUGUACUGUGCAGAUAUUGCGCAGCUUCUACUCAAGCUUGGAGUGCCACAGUACGAACCCAAAGAUUGGAGACUGUUCAUUGACAGCAGCAAGUGAUCACUGAAAUGUGUUCUGCUACACAACGGCAACCAGUUUGCCUCUAUACCCCUGGCUCACUCGACUACACUGAAGGAGAACUAUGAAGCGGUGAAGUAUGUGUUGGAGAAAAUUGGUUAUGAUCAGCAUAAGUGGUUUAUUUGUGUUGACCUGAAGAUGGUGAACUUUUUGUUGGGACAACAGUCUGGCUUCACCAAGUACCCAUGUUUUCUGUGCAUGUGGGAUAGUAGGGACCGUGCUCAGCAUUACACGAAGAAGGACUGGCCUGUGCGGGAGGAAUUGGUGCCUUGCAAAGAAAGGAACGUCAUCAACCACCCUCUGGUAGACAGAGACAGAAUACUCUUCCCACCGCUGCACAUCAAUGAAUGACGAGCAGGGGGAGAGAUUCCAUCAGGACAUGAAAGAGAUGGAGACCAGGUAUCAGGGUCGCUGGGACGCAGUCAUGAUGGCUGACUACUGUUGGACUCUGAAGAGAGACCUCCCUGCCCCUGAGCAUUCCAGAAGUUCCAAGAAACUGAAGUUCAAGCCCUGAAGUUUGAAAAAUGGUGAAGCAACAUGCAAUUUACGUGUACUUGCUUUUAUCAAUGCCCACCAUUCAGUUUACAGUAAUUGAUGUUUCUAUCAGGUAAUCAAUAUAUGUUGUUGGAAAAACAUUUUUUCUCUUAAAAACAUAUUUAGGUUGGCAAAAAUCAGCUGAUAAUGCCACAAAAAUGUAAUUGAUUUUGUCACAAGAUCUGAUUUUUUUCAAAUCAACAUAGCACAAAAACCUGACCUGACAGAGAGAAACGGAUGCCAUUUCCUGAUUCAGCAGUGCAAAAAUACCCUAAAUCAGUUGUAGAAAUCUAGACAACAUUCAAAAAGUAAAAAAUUGUUGCCCAGUGUAAUUUAUUAUUUAUACCCCGCCCAUCUGGCUGGGUUUCCCCAGCCACUCUGGGCGGCUUCCAACAAAACACUAAAAUACAAUAACCUAUUAAACGGGGGGUGUGGGGGGGGUGUGCCACUACCAAGAAGGCCCUCUGCCUGGUUCCCUGUAACUAGGCUUCUCACAGCGAGGGAACCGCCAGAAGGCCCUCGGCGCUGGACCUCAGUGUCCGGGCAGAACGAUGGAGGUGGAGACGCUCCUUCAGGUAUACUGGACCAAGGCCGUUUAGGGCUGCACCCAAAGAGCAAAAAGGAAUGAUACAAUGAAACCUCGGGUUACAGACGCUUUAGGUUACAGACGCUUCAGGUUACAGACUCCGCUGACCCAGAAAUAGUACCUCGGGUUAAGAACUUUGCUUCAGGAUGAGAACAGAAAUCAUGCGGCGGUGGCGCGGUGGCAGCAGGAGGCCCCGUUAGCUAAAGUGGUGCUUCAGGUUAAGAACAGUUUCAGGUUAAGAACGGACCUCCAGAACGAAUUAAGUUCUUAACCUGAGGUACCACUGUAAAUGGAGAAAAGUGCUGUCCUUUCAGGGUGGCAUUUUUUUCCUUAUUAAACUGCUGGCUUUAUGUACUCAGACACGUGCGCCAGUCAGUUGUGCUACUUUGCCCUGGUCCAGCAACUUUGCCCUGGUAAUUAGCAAUAUUGCUGAACUGCAUGAUUCCUUUUUCAUUUUUUUUUUUUUGUUCCAGCACUUAUCGCGGCUGGCAAUGGCUGAUGCAACAGGAGCAGGUUUGCACAAACAAAUGCUCAUACGCAUGUGAUAUGAGCUGCUGUUGCUUUUAUUUAAAAUCAAGCAAAUGGGGAGGAGGGGAACGGCUUUGACAGGGAUAACACCCAUCUGUAAUACAUUACCCGUUUCUUAGGCUUCAAGUGACUGUGAGGAUGUAAGCUGCGGAAGGUUAAAGGGAACAAAUUAAAUGAGUAAAGUCUGUGGGGAAUAAACAGGAACAAAACAUAAUGGAAAAGAUCGCAGGAGAAUGCUGCUCUAGGGAUAUUAAUGCACCGUAAUGGCAUAUUUUCCUUUUAGUAUGCCUUGUAUUAGUGUUCUGAAUCUACCCAACAGUCUAUGUUUAUAUAACUUUCUUCUGAAAAAUCCUGCUUGGCUCUACCAUUUGGCUUCAAAUUCGACACCCAAAUUCUGGUCCUGCAUCUUUUUUAUUUUAUUUAUCUUCAUUUUUUUUAAAAAAAUAAUAUAAACACCUGUUACAUACAAAAUUUACAUUCCUCUCAUACACAUGUUUUUGGCAUCUGUCACAAUGGAGUGCGCCAAAAGUGACCUCCCUGGGACGCAUGCACCUAUUUAAACAAUAUUUCCUAUAUUACAAAGGACACUCAAAAUAAAAUGGAUUUUUUAAAAAAACAAAACCUAAAAUGGUGAAGGAUAAUUUCUAGUAUCUAUGAGGGUGUGCAUAUGUGACUAGAAUAAUUUUGAAGGACUAAAUCCCCCCCCCUUUUUUUUGGCAAGCAACUGGGGGUUUCUCACAUUCAUUAUUCUAGCAUCCUUACAUUUGGCUGGAAUCCGAGAAUUGCAGAUACUUGGGUAUUGUGCUGGAAUCAUAUUGCCAUUUCUGUUUAUAUUCAUAUAUAGAAUAAUAUAGAAUAAAGUCUUGCCACUCACUCAGAAAGGAGUCUUCUUUUAUUUGGCCUCUGCCUAAAAGAAGUUUUGGGGAUAACUUUUCUGCUAGCAAUGUUAUCCUUACUUGAUUAUGGCAUUCUUCCUUAGUAAUCACUUCUGGUUUAGUAAGCACUCCUAGUUAUUCGUACUCAUCAGUCUUGCGGUUGACUCUUUAGCAAUGCUAAGUUAAGCAGCGAGAUGCCCCAUUAGCUAAAUUGGUACCUCAGGUUAAGAACAGACCUCCAGAACGAAUUAAGUUCUUAACCCGAGGUACCACUGUACUUCUUUGCAUUUAAUUCCCACUUGACCCCACUGUUAACAAUGUUUCCCUAUACACUCAUGUAGACUCAACGACCAAGAACAACUGAUCAUGCAAUAACACAUUGACAAUAACAGACUGGGAUGUUGUAAACAGUAUUCUUCGACCUUGGGUCCAGAUUUUGUUGGACUACAACUGCCACCAUCCCUAACCAUGGUUGGAGCUGAUGUGAGUUGGAGUCCAACAACAUGAAGGGCCAAAGGCUGGCCAUCUAUGGUUGGAAGCAUAUUGUUAUCAUGCCAGUUACAGAGAUCAGAUGUACUGUGUUGAUCUCAGAAUUAAUGUCCUCUAGUACAAAUGGCAGACAAGGAAUAACAGUCUCAGAGAGACUGGAACAGCGCAGUGGACAGAACGAUGUGCACAACAGGCUCAAAAUCCAUUCAUGAAAUGGGCUACAAAAUCAUAAGUGUCUUCAGUGACCAUUGUCUCCUCCUUGUUGAGAAAUUAAGACUCUCUUAUAUUUGCUAUUGAUAAAACUAUUUUAUCUGGAAGCAGUUCCCUUAUGAAAACUCUGGGGGCUGGAGGGUAGAGCAAGGCAGAUGGAAACAACCGGCCCCCUGAUGGCAAACCCAGAGUCUCUCUCUCCUCAACUCUGAUCUGAAUGGUCUUACUCAGGCAUCCCUAACCUGCCGUCCUCCAGAUGUUUUGGCCUACAACUCCCAUGAUCCCUAGCUAACAGGGCCAGUGGUCAGGGAUGUUGGGAACUGUAGUCCAAAACACCUGGAGGGCCGAAGGUUGGGGAUGCCUGGUCUUACUCUUUAGAGCAAGGGUAGUCAGUGUGGUGCCCUCCAGAUGUUAUUGAACAACAAGGCCCAUCAGGCCCAGCCAGCACAGCUAAUGUUAAGGCAUGAUGGGAGUUGUAGUCCGACAUAUGAAGGGCACCAUGUUGGCUACCCCGAUUCUAGAUGGCAGAUUACUUCAAAAUGUGUAAUAUGCUGUGUUUGGGGACCCUCCUGCUCAUUCGGUUGAGAAGGCCUUGCCCUGAUAGCACCACUACAAAGGAGCAGGUCUGCUCAAUCCCCUGAUCUUUUAAACUGCCUCCCCACCUUUUCCCUAGCUUAACCACUGGCCAAUCCAUGAUACGUAUGCUGCUAGCCUUACUUAUUUACUUUCCUUAAUUGCUUCCUGAAAAGGGCUCUGAAAAAAGGCAAGUGCAAAUAUGGCUUUGGGAAAGGCCAAAUCAAUAAUCUCUGCUAUUCUCCUUUUAUCUUUUUCUUAGAUGCCCCAAGAAGCUUUCUCCUCCCCUGGGAAAUUUCAGGAAAGGACAGUACCUGCCAUAUGGUGCCUGCUGUGGCAAAGAGAAUUAGCUGUCCCUCCAAGACAUUUGCUGCUGUUUUUCGGCUGAGUCCAGGAGAUGUCCACUCUGACAGAGGGGAAAUGGACAGAACAGAAAGAGGAUGACUCUCAGGAAAGCAGAGUUGGUCUUAGUCUUUGAGGGUGGGGUGGGGGGACACCUCACAAACUCUUAAUAAUUGAAUAUGCCUUUCAGCCACAAGCUACUUCUGAGAGGGGACAGGAAGCUCCUUUUAAAGCAUUUCAAUUUCUCGGUUAUCUUUCCUUGUGACUUGAUCAAAAAAGGAAGAGCAGAAAAUACUAAACAUACCUUCAUCUAAAAGGGAUUGUGUGAAAUCAGGAGAUUUUUAAAGCCAUAAAUAUCGAUG
Podarcis lilfordi (Lilford's wall lizard) is the source of this 4620-nucleotide non-coding RNA. NCBI's taxonomy places the organism in Eukaryota, Metazoa, Chordata, Lepidosauria, Squamata, Lacertidae. The record is from the annotation of a GenBank genome assembly.